CAUCUGUUGAGGAGUCCCAAAACAGGACGAAACGGCCGUUCAGUGC
Molecule: non-coding RNA, 46 nt
Organism: Schistosoma margrebowiei
Lineage: Eukaryota; Metazoa; Platyhelminthes; Trematoda; Strigeidida; Schistosomatidae
Source: Rfam